RNAcentral lists this ribosomal RNA (253 nucleotides) under uncultured bacterium. Its description in RNAcentral is "partial 16S ribosomal RNA". It matches the Rfam family "Bacterial small subunit ribosomal RNA", at positions 524 to 776 of the family's 1533-position model. The record is from RNAcentral.
UACGUAGGUGGCAAGCGUUGUCCGGAAUUAUUGGGCGUAAAGCGCGCGCAGGCGGUCCUUUAAGUCUGAUGUGAAAGCCCACGGCUCAACCGUGGAGGGUCAUUGGAAACUGGGGGACUUGAGUGCAGGAGAGAAGAGUGGAAUUCCACGUGUAGCGGCGAAAUGCGUAGAUAUCGAGAGGAAUACCGGUGGCGAAGGCGGCAUCCUGGACCGACAUUGACGCUGAGGAGCGAAAGCUAGGGGAGCAAACGGG